Molecule: long non-coding RNA, 1477 nt
Organism: Selaginella moellendorffii
Lineage: Eukaryota; Viridiplantae; Streptophyta; Lycopodiopsida; Selaginellales; Selaginellaceae
Exons: 2
Source: RefSeq, a predicted model, not a curated record
UUAAGUUUAGGGUUCAUCGUUGAUAAAGGCGGUGGAUGUCACGGACGGGUUGGGGUUGGACCCUUCCACUCUGCCCAUUGAUCGGAGCUCAAGGUAGGCCGCUUCGCCUCUCUCCACCCUCGCAAGGUAAGUAGGGCUUUAGCAAUAAGCGAGUAAGACAGAGAUUUGGAAAGCGAAGCUGCUUGCAACGAGCUAAGACGUAGGCGAUCAAGAAAUCGUGUUGAAACUCUCAACGCUUGAAGACACCUCUUUUCGAUUGCAACGCAAAAGGGAGCCAGUGACACAAUAAACAACUCAAACAAGCAAAGUGCAAGACAACGGGCCAAGGAACUCUCAACGCGAAGGGAAACUCACUGAUGUGGACAACGCUGUUUGAAUAUGAACAAAAGUAACGAUCAACGAUACUUGGUUUCACGUUGCCAGGUUCGCGUGUGUUUCGAUUUGUUCUAAUUUCUUGUGAUGAAGAAGCCAAGUGACAUGCUGGUGCUGCUCAACGACGAUAAGAACUGAAACACAGUGUGUGCCAAGAAGAAAAAUGCUACUAGAUUGGAGAGAUUUUGUGUCAGCGUUUUGGAGCUUUGAGUUGUGUUGUUGCUGCGCUCAACGUAAGACCUGCGAGCUGAGAAACAACGUUGGGAAACUGCGAUCUGCAGAACUGCUGAAGUUCUACACGACAAUGGUCCAACCUCAAUGAAAACAACAAUCAUGAUCCGUCGCUGAUCCUUGACCGGCCCCGUCCACUCUUGCACCUCUCCACCUCCCUUGCAAGGUAAGUUUGCUUGCAACGAGUUAAGAUGUAUUCUCUAGAAUGAUCAACGAUAAAAGAGAGGCUAGAGGCGAUCAAGAAUUCGUGUCAACGUUUGAAGACGCUCUUUCUUUUCAAUGUUAUGCUCAACGCAACAAAAGGGAGCCAGUGACACAGUCCAAGUUAAGAUGAUAUGCUCGAUCAAACAACUCAAACAAGCUAAGUGCAAAACAAUGGUCCAAGGAACUCUCAACGCGAAGGGAAACUUAAAAAAGACAAGUGACAUGUUGGUGCUGCUCAACCACGAUAAGAACUAAAAAACGCUGUGUCCAAGAAGAAAAAUGCUACGAGAUUGGAGAGAUUCUGUGUCAACAUUUUGGAAAGAUUGUCAGCAAUGUUGCUGCUGCGCUCAACGCAAGACUUGCGAGCUGAGAAACAACGUUGGGCAUCUGCAAUCUUCUGACUUCAAUCCAGUUAAAGACGUACAUGACAAUGGUCCAACCUCAAUGAAAAGAACGAUCAUGAAAACUCUGGCUGUCCAACGAUAUGGAAGUCGAAGUUCAACAGGUUCGUGAGCUGUUUGUUCUAACCAAAAUGUUUGUUCAACGAACUGAAAGGCUUCAACCCCAGGGCCAGCUAACGAUGGGUAGUGGCAAAACGAGACAAUCUACACAAAGCACUCUGUGGUUUCCUUGAAAAGAAAUGAAUACAUUUACAAGUUCUGUCAAAAAA